This is a non-coding RNA of Pelobates cultripes (western spadefoot toad), 220 nucleotides long. Lineage: Eukaryota; Metazoa; Chordata; Amphibia; Anura; Pelobatidae. The record is from the annotation of a GenBank genome assembly.
CGAUUACAAACUGAGGCCAUCAUCGAUUCUGGUUCUUUUGUUUCUGAAACCAUUCCUUUAAAGAUGAAUAUACAUCAUGACCAUUCUGAGUACUUAGUAUUUGAUGUUGUCAAGUCUCCUCUGUUUCCUGUCAUAUUAGAGAUGACCUGGUUACAGACACAUAAUCAUUCAAUCAUUUGGUCUCCUAUCAGCAUAGAUUUUCCUUCUAAACAUUGCCUAG